RNAcentral lists this ribosomal RNA (502 nucleotides) under uncultured bacterium. RNAcentral's name for it is "bacterial SSU rRNA". It matches the Rfam family "Bacterial small subunit ribosomal RNA", at positions 25 to 518 of the family's 1533-position model. The record is from RNAcentral.
CAGGAUGAACGCUAGCGGCAGGCCUAACACAUGCAAGUCGAGGGCAGCAGGAGGUAGCAAUACCUGCUGGCGACCGGCGCACGGGUGCGUAACGCGUAUGCAACCUACCCAUAACAGGGGGAUAACGGAGGGAAACUUCCACUAAUACCCCGUAUAGACACUUCGCCGCAUGGCGGGGUGACGAAAGCCGUAAGGUGGUUAUGGAUGGGCAUGCGUGGCAUUAGGUAGUUGGCGGGGCAACGGCCCACCAAGCCCACGAUGCCUAGGGGAGCUGAGAGGCUAAUCCCCCACACUGGUACUGAGACACGGACCAGACUCCUACGGGAGGCAGCAGUGAGGAAUAUUGGUCAAUGGAGGGAACUCUGAACCAGCCAUGCCGCGUGAGGGAAGGAAGGCCCUAUGGGUUGUAAACCUCUUUUGCCUGGGGGCAAUAAGGCUCAUGCGUGGGCUGAUGAGAGUACCCAGGCGAAUAAGCAUCGGCUAACUCCGUGCCAGCCGCCGC